GCCCGCCUAGCUCAAUCGGAUAGAGCGUCAGACUCUUAUUAUCUCUGUCAAGGCAGGCAUUAAAUCUGAAGGCUACGAGUUUGACCCUCGCGGUGGGCU
Non-coding RNA from Macrolepiota fuliginosa MF-IS2, 99 nucleotides. NCBI's taxonomy places the organism in Eukaryota, Fungi, Basidiomycota, Agaricomycetes, Agaricales, Agaricaceae. The record is from the annotation of a GenBank genome assembly.